AUUGAACGCUGGCGGCAUGCCUUACACAUGCAAGUCGAACGGCAGCACGGGAGCAAUCCUGGUGGCGAGUGGCGAACGGGUGAGUAAAGUAUCGGAACGUGCCCAGUCGUGGGGGAUAACGUAGCGAAAGUUACGCUAAUACCGCAUACGAUCUAUGGAUGAAAGCGGGGGAUCGCAAGACCUCGCGCGAUUGGAGCGGCCGAUAUCAGAUUAGGUAGUUGGUGGGGUAAAGGCUCACCAAGCCGACGAUCUGUAGCUGGUCUGAGAGGACGACGAGACAAACUGGGGGUGAGACACGACCCAGACUCCGACGGGAAGCAGCAGUGGGGAAUGUUGGACAAUGGGCGAAAGCCUGAUCCAGCCAUGCCGCGUGCAGGAUGAAGGCCUUCGGGUUGUAAACUGCUUUUGUACGGAACGAAAAGGUUUGGGCUAAUAAGCUGAGCUCAUGACGGUACCGUAAGAAUAAGCACCGGCUAACUACGUGCCAGCCGCCGCCGUAA
Molecule: ribosomal RNA, 500 nt
Filed under: uncultured bacterium
Lineage: Bacteria
Description: partial 16S ribosomal RNA
Rfam family: Bacterial small subunit ribosomal RNA
Source: RNAcentral